Molecule: ribosomal RNA, 4439 nt
Filed under: Saccharomyces cerevisiae (brewer's yeast)
Lineage: Eukaryota; Fungi; Ascomycota; Saccharomycetes; Saccharomycetales; Saccharomycetaceae
Also listed under: 1 other name
Description: 21S ribosomal RNA
Rfam family: Bacterial large subunit ribosomal RNA (bases 200-1918)
Source: RNAcentral
GUAAAAAGUAGAAUAAUAGAUUUGAAAUAUUUAUUAUAUAGAUUUAAAGAGAUAAUCAUGGAGUAUAAUAAUUAAAUUUAAUAAAUUUAAUAUAACUAUUAAUAGAAUUAGGUUACUAAUAAAUUAAUAACAAUUAAUUUUAAAACCUAAAGGUAAACCUUUAUAUUAAUAAUGUUAUUUUUUAUUAUUUUUAUAAUAAGAAUAAUUAUUAAUAAUAAUAAACUAAGUGAACUGAAACAUCUAAGUAACUUAAGGAUAAGAAAUCAACAGAGAUAUUAUGAGUAUUGGUGAGAGAAAAUAAUAAAGGUCUAAUAAGUAUUAUGUGAAAAAAAUGUAAGAAAAUAGGAUAACAAAUUCUAAGACUAAAUACUAUUAAUAAGUAUAGUAAGUACCGUAAGGGAAAGUAUGAAAAUGAUUAUUUUAUAAGCAAUCAUGAAUAUAUUAUAUUAUAUUAAUGAUGUACCUUUUGUAUAAUGGGUCAGCAAGUAAUUAAUAUUAGUAAAACAAUAAGUUAUAAAUAAAUAGAAUAAUAUAUAUAUAUAAAAAAAUAUAUUAAAAUAUUUAAUUAAUAUUAAUUGACCCGAAAGCAAACGAUCUAACUAUGAUAAGAUGGAUAAACGAUCGAACAGGUUGAUGUUGCAAUAUCAUCUGAUUAAUUGUGGUUAGUAGUGAAAGACAAAUCUGGUUUGCAGAUAGCUGGUUUUCUAUGAAAUAUAUGUAAGUAUAGCCUUUAUAAAUAAUAAUUAUUAUAUAAUAUUAUAUUAAUAUUAUAUAAAGAAUGGUACAGCAAUUAAUAUAUAUUAGGGAACUAUUAAAGUUUUAUUAAUAAUAUUAAAUCUCGAAAUAUUUAAUUAUAUAUAAUAAAGAGUCAGAUUAUGUGCGAUAAGGUAAAUAAUCUAAAGGGAAACAGCCCAGAUUAAGAUAUAAAGUUCCUAAUAAAUAAUAAGUGAAAUAAAUAUUAAAAUAUUAUAAUAUAAUCAGUUAAUGGGUUUGACAAUAACCAUUUUUUAAUGAACAUGUAACAAUGCACUGAUUUAUAAUAAAUAAAAAAAAAUAAUAUUUAAAAUCAAAUAUAUAUAUAUUUGUUAAUAGAUAAUAUACGGAUCUUAAUAAUAAGAAUUAUUUAAUUCCUAAUAUGGAAUAUUAUAUUUUUAUAAUAAAAAUAUAAAUACUGAAUAUCUAAAUAUUAUUAUUACUUUUUUUUUAAUAAUAAUAAUAUGGUAAUAGAACAUUUAAUGAUAAUAUAUAUUAGUUAUUAAUUAAUAUAUGUAUUAAUUAAAUAGAGAAUGCUGACAUGAGUAACGAAAAAAAGGUAUAAACCUUUUCACCUAAAACAUAAGGUUUAACUAUAAAAGUACGGCCCCUAAUUAAAUUAAUAAGAAUAUAAAUAUAUUUAAGAUGGGAUAAUCUAUAUUAAUAAAAAUUUAUCUUAAAAUAUAUAUAUUAUUAAUAAUUAUAUUAAUUAAUUAAUAAUAUAUAUAAUUAUAUUAUAUAUUAUAUAUUUUUUAUAUAAUAUAAACUAAUAAAGAUCAGGAAAUAAUUAAUGUAUACCGUAAUGUAGACCGACUCAGGUAUGUAAGUAGAGAAUAUGAAGGUGAAUUAGAUAAUUAAAGGGAAGGAACUCGGCAAAGAUAGCUCAUAAGUUAGUCAAUAAAGAGUAAUAAGAACAAAGUUGUACAACUGUUUACUAAAAACACCGCACUUUGCAGAAACGAUAAGUUUAAGUAUAAGGUGUGAACUCUGCUCCAUGCUUAAUAUAUAAAUAAAAUUAUUUAACGAUAAUUUAAUUAAAUUUAGGUAAAUAGCAGCCUUAUUAUGAGGGUUAUAAUGUAGCGAAAUUCCUUGGCCUAUAAUUGAGGUCCCGCAUGAAUGACGUAAUGAUACAACAACUGUCUCCCCUUUAAGCUAAGUGAAAUUGAAAUCGUAGUGAAGAUGCUAUGUACCUUCAGCAAGACGGAAAGACCCUAUGCAGCUUUACUGUAAUUAGAUAGAUCGAAUUAUUGUUUAUUAUAUUCAGCAUAUUAAGUAAUCCUAUUAUUAGGUAAUCGUUUAGAUAUUAAUGAGAUACUUAUUAUAAUAUAAUGAUAAUUCUAAUCUUAUAAAUAAUUAUUAUUAUUAUUAUUAAUAAUAAUAAUAUGCUUUCAAGCAUAGUGAUAAAACAUAUUUAUAUGAUAAUCACUUUACUUAAUAGAUAUAAUUCUUAAGUAAUAUAUAAUAUAUAUUUUAUAUAUAUUAUAUAUAAUAUAAGAGACAAUCUCUAAUUGGUAGUUUUGAUGGGGCGUCAUUAUCAGCAAAAGUAUCUGAAUAAGUCCAUAAAUAAAUAUAUAAAAUUAUUGAAUAAAAAAAAAAUAAUAUAUAUUAUAUAUAUUAAUUAUAAAUUGAAAUAUGUUUAUAUAAAUUUAUAUUUAUUGAAUAUAUUUUAGUAAUAGAUAAAAAUAUGUACAGUAAAAUUGUAAGGAAAACAAUAAUAACUUUCUCCUCUCUCGGUGGGGGUUCACACCUAUUUUUAAUAGGUGUGAACCCCUCUUCGGGGUUCCGGUUCCCUUUCGGGUCCCGGAACUUAAAUAAAAAUGGAAAGAAUUAAAUUAAUAUAAUGGUAUAACUGUGCGAUAAUUGUAACACAAACGAGUGAAACAAGUACGUAAGUAUGGCAUAAUGAACAAAUAACACUGAUUGUAAAGGUUAUUGAUAACGAAUAAAAGUUACGCUAGGGAUAAUUUACCCCCUUGUCCCAUUAUAUUGAAAAAUAUAAUUAUUCAAUUAAUUAUUUAAUUGAAGUAAAUUGGGUGAAUUGCUUAGAUAUCCAUAUAGAUAAAAAUAAUGGACAAUAAGCAGCGAAGCUUAUAACAACUUUCAUAUAUGUAUAUAUACGGUUAUAAGAACGUUCAACGACUAGAUGAUGAGUGGAGUUAACAAUAAUUCAUCCACGAGCGCCCAAUGUCGAAUAAAUAAAAUAUUAAAUAAAUAUCAAAGGAUAUAUAAAGAUUUUUAAUAAAUCAAAAAAUAAAAUAAAAUGAAAAAUAUUAAAAAAAAUCAAGUAAUAAAUUUAGGACCUAAUUCUAAAUUAUUAAAAGAAUAUAAAUCACAAUUAAUUGAAUUAAAUAUUGAACAAUUUGAAGCAGGUAUUGGUUUAAUUUUAGGAGAUGCUUAUAUUCGUAGUCGUGAUGAAGGUAAACUAUAUUGUAUGCAAUUUGAGUGAAAAAAUAAGGCAUACAUGGAUCAUGUAUGUUUAUUAUAUGAUCAAUGAGUAUUAUCACCUCCUCAUAAAAAAGAAAGAGUUAAUCAUUUAGGUAAUUUAGUAAUUACCUGAGGAGCUCAAACUUUUAAACAUCAAGCUUUUAAUAAAUUAGCUAACUUAUUUAUUGUAAAUAAUAAAAAACUUAUUCCUAAUAAUUUAGUUGAAAAUUAUUUAACACCUAUAAGUUUAGCAUAUUGAUUUAUAGAUGAUGGAGGUAAAUGAGAUUAUAAUAAAAAUUCUCUUAAUAAAAGUAUUGUAUUAAAUACACAAAGUUUUACUUUUGAAGAAGUAGAAUAUUUAGUUAAAGGUUUAAGAAAUAAAUUUCAAUUAAAUUGUUAUGUUAAAAUUAAUAAAAAUAAACCAAUUAUUUAUAUUGAUUCUAUAAGUUAUUUAAUUUUUUAUAAUUUAAUUAAACCUUAUUUAAUUCCUCAAAUGAUAUAUAAAUUACCUAAUACUAUUUCAUCCGAAACUUUUUUAAAAUAAUAUUCUUAUUUUUAUUUUAUGAUAUAUUUCAUAAAUAUUUAUUUAUAUUAAAUUUUAUUUGAUAAUGAUAUAGUCUGAACAAUAUAGUAAUAUAUUGAAGUAAUUAUUUAAAUGUAAUUACGAUAACAAAAAAUUUGAACAGGGUAAUAUAGCGAAAGAGUAGAUAUUGUAAGCUAUGUUUGCCACCUCGAUGUCGACUCAACAUUUCCUCUUGGUUGUAAAAGCUAAGAAGGGUUUGACUGUUCGUCAAUUAAAAUGUUACGUGAGUUGGGUUAAAUACGAUGUGAAUCAGUAUGGUUCCUAUCUGCUGAAGGAAAUAUUAUCAAAUUAAAUCUCAUUAUUAGUACGCAAGGACCAUAAUGAAUCAACCCAUGGUGUAUCUAUUGAUAAUAAUAUAAUAUAUUUAAUAAAAAUAAUACUUUAUUAAUAUAUUAUCUAUAUUAGUUUAUAUUUUAAUUAUAUAUUAUCAUAGUAGAUAAGCUAAGUUGAUAAUAAAUAAAUAUUGAAUACAUAUUAAAUAUGAAGUUGUUUUAAUAAGAUAAUUAAUCUGAUAAUUUUAUACUAAAAUUAAUAAUUAUAGGUUUUAUAUAUUAUUUAUAAAUAAAUAUAUUAUAAUAAUAAUAAUUAUUAUUAUUAAUAAAAAAUAUUAAUUAUAAUAUUAAUAAAAUACUAAUUUAUCAGUUAUCUAUAUAAUAUCUAAUCUAUUAUUCUAUAUACU